GCUAUGAUGAAUUUUCUGCGGAAUGAUUAAAAAUGAUUAUAAACAUUUCCCUCUAAGAAGAUCUGAGCGC
This is a small nucleolar RNA of Argiope bruennichi, 70 nucleotides long. RefSeq annotates it as small nucleolar RNA SNORD61. The transcript has a single exon. The record is from RefSeq and is a predicted model, not a curated record. Lineage: Eukaryota; Metazoa; Arthropoda; Arachnida; Araneae; Araneidae.